This 309-nucleotide long non-coding RNA is filed under the name Carica papaya (papaya). RNAcentral describes it as "long non-coding RNA (CPAP_LNC001432)". The record is from RNAcentral. Lineage: Eukaryota; Viridiplantae; Streptophyta; Magnoliopsida; Brassicales; Caricaceae.
GGUUGUUAUCUCAUGGAACAAUAAACACAUAUGAGUGUUGAUUCAAGAUAAGCUACAAUGUCAGUAAAAAUUCUUCUUUUAGUUAGUCAUUCUUGUCCUGUCUUCCUGAGUGAUAGUUUAUAAAUAUAACACAAAUGUCCCAUUUAACUUCUUUGUAAUAACUUAAACAUCAUUAUAUGUGAAAGUUAUUUAAUUUUUCCUUCAACUUGAGUUUUUAAAUGGGUACAUUUCACAAUCUUCAUUAAGGAUACUGUAAGUUGCCGAAAGUUCCAUAUAAUAUCAUUUUAUUCUUAAUGUUGCAUCAGUCUU